AUGACCCAGAUUUUUAAAAUCUAUUUAUUAUUAUAUAAGUGAUUUUCCUCAAGGAAAAGAAUAAGAUGUAAUAUUUUAUUCCAGUUUAAUUAAAUCCAAGUGUUAUAUUUAAAUUCCGGGUUAUUGUGUUAUUGGUAUAUAAUUGUUCCUUUAAAAUUGAGUUUCAUAUAUUAUUUUUAAAAAAAAAAAAAAAAAUUCUAAAUGAUUAUUAUGUGAUUAUAUUCUCGAGAGUCGGUGUAUUUUAUUUCUAUUGGAUUGUUGAGCUGUGUUAUCGAUUUGCAUUUGUUACGGAUUUUAUAUUGAUUUAAUUAUAUAAAAUAGUGUAUUGCAUAUAAAAUCUUUUUUAUCGCUUUAUAAUUCCAUUAAAUAUUUUUAGAGAUUUAUAAAAUUCAUAAAACGAUAUUUUGAUCAUUCUUCAGCUCUAAAUGAUUUUCCGUAUAGAUUAAAGUGGGGUCUUUCUAUCUAUUUCAAAAAUGAUCCAAAAAUCGUGAAAAUCGUAUUUUAUUAGUUUUUAAUUAUUUUAAGAUUUCUAAAGUUAUUUUGGUAUUUAUCGGGAUUAUUUUAUCUGUGAGUUUGUUCGUUAAUUUGUCAAAUUCAGUCUGGAGCCAUCCAGAUCUGUGAGGACACGCGUCAAAAUUCCUAAUACGUGUCCAAUUGCUACAUUUUCAGUUUAUAAUUAUAUUUUUAAUUCAAAAUAUCAAUCUCUCCCGGUCUCCCUCGCUCUCCUUCAUCUCUCCCACUCAACCUCGGUCUCUCUGUCGGUUUUCUCUCCCUCGCGCAUCUCCCUCUCUCCAGCCACCGUUCCAGUCGCCGCCACUCCGCCCCGAUCUCUCCACCUCCGUUUUCGUCGCCGUCAUUGCGCCGAUUCCGGCACCGCCAGUCUCUGUCUCUCCCUGUUUCCUGCUCGUUUUCUACUGUUUUGGGGCUGCUGGGUAUCGUAUGUAUAUGCGUGCGAUUGGUGUGUGUAUAAUCUGAUGUGUGUGUAUAUAUCAGUAUAGUGUGUGUAUAUAAUUCGAGUGUGUGUGUGUGUAUUCUGGUGUCUGUGAGUAGAAUCAGCGUGUGUGCUCAGUACGCGUGCGUGUGUGCAGGUGGGUGUUUUCGUGAGUAAUGGUUUAGUAUUGAUGUUGAUUCCCGUGGCUUUCUGAUUUCCAAAUUCUUUUCUUUAUCCUUUGUGUUUGAUAUUUAGUCGAGUAAUCUGCCUAAUUUAGUUGGUAACUGUAUUUAAGUGGUUCGUAGUUAAUUACAAGUUUGUUUGGAGUAUUUGUUGGAUUGGUUGGUAUUUGUAAUUGGGAUUAUUUGGAGAUUGAUUACAGGUUAUUUUGGGAUUUGUUGUGUCGAUAUGAUAUCGACUGGUAGUUCGAUAAAUAGAGGAGGUGCUGCCCAAUUUUCAAAUAAAAUUUAGAUUUUUAAAAUUAUACGGGAGCAUAUCUUAUAAUUAUCGGGCUAUUAAUCGAAUUUAUAUAGUUACUGAUUAGUAAUAUUUCUAUAAAAUCUAUAAAUAAUAUUUAUGUGAUUUGGUAGUAAUAGCAGUACUACAUAGCAUUAUUAUUGAUGUUAAUGUGUGAAACUGUGUUUACUUGGUAAUUUUAAGAUGUCGAAUAUUAAUAAAUAUUAGUAUUAUUCUUUAGUAUUAUUAUUACUUUCACUAGUAAUAAUAAUAGUAAAUAAUAAUAUUAAUAAUAUAAAUAUGCGAUAUCUUAAAUAGUUAUAGCGCUAUGCUUAUUUAAUUCAACUUGUAUAUAUUUGAAUUGAAUAGUAUCUAAAUUGAGUAUUAUGGUAAGUGGUAAGUAAAUGUAUGGAAAUAUGUGAUACCUGCUAAGUGCUACGUGUUAAAUGUUAGAGUGUUAUUCUUGAUAGUAUAAUGUAUUAAUAUUGAAUUACUUUCAAUUUUAAAGAUAAGCUGUUAGUUUCUUUCAAUCAUUAUGUGUUUAGGUGCCGCAUGUCUGGGCGGAUUAUUUAUCAUUAUGUGUUAGGUGCCGCAUGUCGGGGUGGGUACUUUUCUUAUGUGAUUUACUACAUGUCGAGGCAGAUUUUCUUUAUAUUAGUAUUUUAUAUAGUUUAAAGAGCUUGAUUUGAUUGAUUUGAAAACAGGGGGAUAGUCCUAUUUACGAAUAGGUCAUGCCGAAUUUUCCGUAGAAAUAUUAACUUAAGACGCGUUCUCGUGUUAAAUAAUAUUCUGAGUUGGUUGUAAGUUAUAAAACUAUAAUGUGUGCUACUUGUUAUGUGCUAUAUAAUGUGCCGUGUAUAUAUAUAUCGCGAAAGGGUAGAAAUAGGAUAGUUGUUUCGGGAGGAUACUAAAGUAGUAUCUUUUUGCUUAUAAUAGGAUCGAGCAUGAAAUUACACACCUAGAGGGGGGGUGAAUAGGUGUUAUGGCUAAUAUACCCGAUUUUUAUAAGUUACCGAAUAAUUAAUCUGUCAAAGACAGCCUGCUGUUAAUUUUCAGAGUAAACUGUUAGCCUGCUAAUAAGAUAAAUGCAAUGCAGAUAAUGUAAAGCAGUAUGCUAGCAACACCAAGAAUUUUAGCCAGGUUCGACCCCUAACCCUAAUGGUCUACGUCCUGGUCCCCUACCAACUGGUAAGAGAUUAUAUUAUUAAUCAAUAAUAUCAACGAUUACAAGAUUCAAUAAUAUAACUCCCUUUUUCCCUUGUUCCUGUUAUCAGCCUGCUGAAACCCCUGAACCACGAACCAAAAGCCUACCAAGACCUAUACUUCCCAAGUAUAUUCUCCUAGCUAACUAGUUCCCUUGUUCCCUUGUUUCACAAGCUGGAUACACAGCAACAACACAUUACACCUUGAACAAUACAAUGAAUAAGUGUAAUACAACCGAAACUAUGAACUCUCAAUAUAGAUAUAUACACGAAUAUAAGUACUAGAGCUCAACAAAAGAUUUAGCAAUGUAAAGAGUUGUAUUUCAGAAAGCUUGGUGUGUUCUCCUUGUUCUCUAAAACCGAAACCACACUCAAGUUUAUAUACAUCAUACCAACGGUCAUAAUCCAACAAAUUUCCCAACGAUCUUGGUAACAACCUCACGUUUAAAUUUGAAUUGAAUGAUGAACGUUUGAAUGAAGUAAGAUUACUGAGUAAAAGAUAAAAUCGUUUGAAAACAUCUCAGUAAAGAAUUUAAAUAAAAUCCGUUUGAAACUAAAUAGGAGUUUGUUAAAGAUAAGAUUCUUUGAGAUAAAAUCUCCUAUUUGUUAGGAAAACGUUUUUGAACAAAACUCUUUAUAAAACUGAGCUCUAAUAUUUAUAUCAGAUAUAUAUAAAUAUUAGAAUCCUUACAAAGUCGUUUCCUAUUAAAUCUCCUUGAAAAUAGACUUUGAUCUUUAUCCGAUUGUUUCUCUGUUCACGCUGUAAGCCUGCUGAUAGCUUGUAAAUAUUCCUGUAAGCUUGCUGACAGCUAUAAUCAUGCUAACAUCCUGAAAUACUGUUAGUCCGCAUAAACAACCUUUGAUAGCAUGCUUUCACAUAUCAGUUCCAUGUUAUUAGCUUGCUGUUAGUGUCAUCAUGAAAACCUAGAGAGUAUCAAUCUCCCCCUUUUUGAUGAUUACACUAUAUUAGGAAAAGUAAUAAACUCCCCCUAAAUAUAGCAAUCUAAUAUCACUAAACUUUCACAAUUAUCACAGAGAAUAAAAUCUAGCAGAUAUAUCUAAUUCACAGAUAUGCAAAAUUUAACACAGAAACAAUUAAUCUAAGCAAAUUGCAUAGAUAUUUCAAAUAAUCCUAACCAGGAUAAACCACCUGGUAUCCAAAAUAUUAUCCAAACAACUUAAACAAAUUAACUCAGGAUAAACCACCUGAGAUCACCAAAUUCAAAUCCAACCAGCACAGAACAACUUAGUCUUAAAGCAAAUAAAAACUUAGGGCCAAUAAUGUACUUAAGCAGAUUAAACAAACUUAAGUAAAAGUAUUAUUAAUUUCCUAAUUUCCUCCCCCUUAAUCAUUAAAAAGGUUAGAAAAUCAGGUUCCAGCCUUGUCCUGCGCGUCCUUCUCCAGACCAUACUUCUUUGCAAGUUCUGCCGCAAUCGCGUUCCUAGCCAACAUCUCUUUUCCUGCAGCAGCAUACUUGGAGUCUGUGCCAGCAGCUUCCUUGAGCACAUCCAUACAUGUUCUCUGCCGUGGACUAUCAGUAGCAUCAUCCUCUGAAGUGAAAGUAGCCUUCACAUCUGAUGAACCUCCAGAGCCAUACAUCCUUUUGCAGAGCUCGUAAGCGAAGCUCCCAGAACUGCACUUUUCAGACGCAGUAGACGUGCGAGCACCAAACAUCAUAUCCUUCCAAAAACCAACCUGAGAAACCAACUCAGCCAUCUGCUCAGACAGCUGUUUCUGCCCAUCCACCACUUCCUUGUGAUUUGAUCGAAGUUCAUUCAUGUAAUCAUGAAUCUCCUGUGCAGAGAUUCCCAAAUCCACAACAUUCACAGAUUGAGCAGGGGAUGGGGGUGAAGGUACUUCAACAACCAACAAACCAUCUUUAUCCAACUUGAGAUUUGACUGAGCCAAGAAUUUGGCAUCAAGAAAUUCUUUGGCCGUCACACUCUCCUCAUCAGCAAACGAAACCCCAAACCAUUCAAACACUCUCGUCAACAAUAACCCAUAAGGCAAACCACCAGAAGACUUCCCUUCCACAGAAUCAAUCAUAUUUUUCAGAAUCAAGUCUGGCAAAUCAAACUUUCUCCCAGCCAGAAUCAUGGAAACAACAACAAUAUCCUGCGAUGACAAAUUGGACCUAGUACCUAACCUAGGACUCACAUUCUCAAUUGACAUCUUGAACAGAGCUUGUGCUAGUGGUACUAACUGUGUAGUAGAUGGAAAAACACCCUCAGAAACACUUUCAAGACCAGUGAUCAUCUUCAACUGAUCCUGAUGAGAAAAACCCUCAAUAUUUUUCGGGCCGCGUUUGGUGUGAAUAGACACAGUAGAUGGUGGAACUCGCAAAAUAGCACCCAAAAACAUGGAAGAUAAACAUAUCUUGACAUCAGACACAUAUGACACAUAUUGAUCAGACCCAGUAGAUUGAAGAUUUGCAUAAAAUUCUCGCACUAAAGCAGGGUAACACAACUUAGGCAAAUCAACCAGAAAAGAUUGAAACCCUAGAUCCUCAAACAACUUGACAAUCCCACAAUUAUAAAAGGCUUUUCCAGAAAGGGGCUUACCCAAGAUAACCUUUCGGCCGGCGAGACCGCGAACAGCUAACAUCUCGGACUUGGGUUUCUUCUGAGUAGACUCGAUUCCAACCUCAUCUCGAUUUACCCCAGAAAUCUCAUCACCGCUCUCAACAGUCACGAACUCUUCAUCUUCCUCAUCAAUCAGCUUGCGCUUUUGAGAAACAGAGGAUGGCUGAGGAGUAUGUGCCUUCACAUUUGCUCUAGUUUUCUUCCUCAUCGCGAGCCGUAAGCCGAUUGUUGCUAUGGUGAUGACAAAACCUUUUCGGAGAUAGUGUGAGAAAACCCUAGCUUCUCGGGGAGGGUUGAAUAAGUAGUUGAAGAGGCGUGGAGUGAGUAGAGUUUUUAACACUCUUUUAACAAUUAUCAGGGGAGGAUUUUUAGGAAUAAUCCUUAGCAAUUCAUGCGAAGAUUGGUCGUUGGGGAUCUCUAGAAAGCCCGUUUUAUGAGAUUUCUGAGAGAUCAAAAGGGGCACGGAUGCUUUAUUUAUCACCAGGUAAAGAUGAAUACUAUAUGGUAGCGGCGGGAAAUCCUUUGGCUUUGAAUCAGGGUCUUCAGGAAGAACAGGUUGUUCCAGUUCGAUAUCGUCAAGAAUUCAAAGUGGAGUCAGAUAGAAUCUUAGGCAUACGGUUACCGCCCCGAGCUGAACCAUUUAGGUUCAUUACAGCUGGGCACUACUGGGCGCUGCUUCCUCAAUUCACAAUCCGACUUCACUAUGAAAGACGAAUAAUUUCUUAUAGAACAUCCUGUAUACGAUAUUUGAAGUAAAUUCGUUUUCAUUGCUUUCAUUGCAACUUAAAUUAUGAUCACCUCAACUUCUCGACGCUUUCUUUCUUCGACGUGAGGCGCUCUCCCUUUACUGAAAGCAAGUAAUGAAUAAAAACAGGAGUAGAUUGUAAUAAGAACGGGAUUGAUUGCACGCACCGGAUCACCUCUACCUUCAAGUUCUGCUUCGGGGAGACUUUUGUUCAAAUGCCAUAAUAAAUCGAACAAAGCCGUAGCUAUAGAUCAGGGAUCGGAAUGUAAGUACUUGUAACAAUAGUCACCUCCUUCCACAGGUCGAGAUAGGGCUCUCUGAGAUAGGCUACCAUCAAAAGAGCGCAGAACUCAGCUAAAACAUUAACGAGAACAUAGACUAUAACACAAAACUCACUUAGCGAGAGAACAUCUGCUUUCUUUCUUGGAAUCAUGAGUUUGCAAUCGAGAGGGAGCUUGCAAAGCUGCUCAAUCAUAGAGAGGCAAGAAGGGGGAAUGGAAUAAAGUAGGCUAUAGUGACGCUUGGCGCAACUAAGUCUUUUAAUUGUAGCAGCCAGCACCACGGUUCGAGCUCAACCGAGCUGAGGAGAUGCUGGGCACCCCAACAAUCCCCCCCCCAGCAUCUGCCAGCACUAACACGGCUGCACAGCAUGCCUUCCCGGGGAAUCGAACCCGUGACCUGCUCUGAUACCAACUUUUAUUCUUCUUUUCGAUCAUUCUCUUGAUUUUUCUGGACAUAAGAGCUAGAUCCUCAUCUGAUUCUGUUUCCUCAUCUGAUUCCAGCUUGCUGACAGAGGAGUGCAGUGCAAGAUUCUUCAUUUUCUCUGUUGGCAGCUUGCUGCUUUCUGAGCUGUUAGCUUCAAUCUUAGCUUCAAAUUGUUCCAACUCAGCAAAUAUAGCCAGGUGAUCCAUAGUAUCAAUGUUGAGAGCUGACUCCAAUGCUGUGACCUUGGCACCAUAUUCGAACGGAACUGCAUUUAGAAUAUUCAUGUUGAUUUCCGAUUGUGGAAUCUUUUUGCCAAGUCUUUCAAGACUGUUGAGAGUGACUUGGAAUCUAGCUUGGCUUUCUCGAAUGGAUUCUCCCUUCUUGAUAGCAAAGCUUCCAAAUUCUUUCAUAAGCUUUCCGAGCUUGACUUUCUUUAAUGCCUUUGAGCCUUCGUGAUAUGUCUCCAAUGCAUCCCAAAUUUCUUUUGCGGAUUUGAGAGAAGAGACCUUGUCAUAUUCAGCUUGAUUCAGCCCAUUGAUUAAUGUACUCCUUGCUUUUCCAUUGGCAGCAACCUUUGAAAGCUCGUCCGAUGUGAGAACAUCAACGUCCUUGACUUUGCCAUCGCUAUCACGAUAUUCAUAAGGACCUCUUUGCACAACUCUUUGCAUUAGGGGAUCUCUGGAUAGAUGAGCCUCCAUUUGGCCUUUCCACCAAUUGUAGUUGUCAGAACCCGUGAGGAGGGGAGCUCUAAAAUCGGACUUUCCCUGAAAGUUAUCAGCCAUAUCGAUCGAUACUAUUCCUGUUACAGAAGUAUUAGUACAAACACAGCUCUGAUACCAAUUGAAAUUACACACCUAGAGGGGGGGUGAAUAGGUGUUAUGGCUAAUAUACCCGAUUUUUAUAAGUUACCGAAUAAUUAAUCUGUCAAAGACAGCCUGCUGUUAAUUUUCAGAGUAAACUGUUAGCCUGCUAAUAAGAUAAAUGCAAUGCAGAUAAUGUAAAGCAGUAUGCUAGCAACACCAAGAAUUUUAGCCAGGUUCGACCCCUAACCCUAAUGGUCUACGUCCUGGUCCCCUACCAACUGGUAAGAGAUUAUAUUAUUAAUCAAUAAUAUCAACGAUUACAAGAUUCAAUAAUAUAACUCCCUUUUUCCCUUGUUCCUGUUAUCAGCCUGCUGAAACCCCUGAACCACGAACCAAAAGCCUACCAAGACCUAUACUUCCCAAGUAUAUUCUCCUAGCUAACUAGUUCCCUUGUUCCCUUGUUUCACAAGCUGGAUACACAGCAACAACACAUUACACCUUGAACAAUACAAUGAAUAAGUGUAAUACAACCGAAACUAUGAACUCUCAAUAUAGAUAUAUACACGAAUAUAAGUACUAGAGCUCAACAAAAGAUUUAGCAAUGUAAAGAGUUGUAUUUCAGAAAGCUUGGUGUGUUCUCCUUGUUCUCUAAAACCGAAACCACACUCAAGUUUAUAUACAUCAUACCAACGGUCAUAAUCCAACAAAUUUCCCAACGAUCUUGGUAACAACCUCACGUUUAAAUUUGAAUUGAAUGAUGAACGUUUGAAUGAAGUAAGAUUACUGAGUAAAAGAUAAAAUCGUUUGAAAACAUCUCAGUAAAGAAUUUAAAUAAAAUCCGUUUGAAACUAAAUAGGAGUUUGUUAAAGAUAAGAUUCUUUGAGAUAAAAUCUCCUAUUUGUUAGGAAAACGUUUUUGAACAAAACUCUUUAUAAAACUGAGCUCUAAUAUUUAUAUCAGAUAUAUAUAAAUAUUAGAAUCCUUACAAAGUCGUUUCCUAUUAAAUCUCCUUGAAAAUAGACUUUGAUCUUUAUCCGAUUGUUUCUCUGUUCACGCUGUAAGCCUGCUGAUAGCUUGUAAAUAUUCCUGUAAGCUUGCUGACAGCUAUAAUCAUGCUAACAUCCUGAAAUACUGUUAGUCCGCAUAAACAACCUUUGAUAGCAUGCUUUCACAUAUCAGUUCCAUGUUAUUAGCUUGCUGUUAGUGUCAUCAUCAAAACCUAGAGAGUAUCAGAGCAUUGAGGGCGUGAUACCAAGCAAAGGCAAGAAAAGGGGAGAGUUGUAUAGCGGUUCAGUAGUUACGGAUUGUUCGAGACGAAUCGAACCAGACGUUGGGGAUCAAGACUGAAGUUAGAUAAGAUUCCGUAUCAGGCUGCAGCAAUCGCAUGAGCACCAUAGCAGAGAAUCAGGAAUAGUUGAGGGUGAUGUCUUGGGAAAGCAGAAUAAGAUAAGGAUGUUAGCUAAGAGUGUAUAAGCUAAGGACCAAAGAUAAUGUUAAAGAUGGUUCGCCUAUUUAGGCUAAGAAUAAGAGUAAGGCUAGGCGAGGAUUGCAAGUGAUUAAGUUUCAACCUGAUGGUCAGGAAGAGUAACCAAGAUCGAGUCUUUGGGACUAGUGGUAAUUGGAGUUGUCUAAAUUUGGUUUAGUUGUAAAAAUAUAUUUGUUAAUUUGGAUAUUGGUUAUCCUUCAUAUCGAGGUUUAGUUGAUAGUCUAGUUCAAGCUGUAAUCAGAUCUGUAGUUUUGUUUUCUGAUUUCAAUACUAUAACCUGUUUGCGAUCCUAUUUUAAAGGGGGUGAAAUUGAGUUUUAAUUUAAAUCAUUUUUUUUUAUA
Long non-coding RNA from Daucus carota subsp. sativus, 9252 nucleotides. RefSeq lists it as uncharacterized. The transcript has 2 exons. The record is from RefSeq and is a predicted model, not a curated record. NCBI's taxonomy places the organism in Eukaryota, Viridiplantae, Streptophyta, Magnoliopsida, Apiales, Apiaceae.